UCGAAGCCUUCCCGUUCGCCGUCGCCAUUUCUGACGCUGACAACGACACCGAAUACGAAUGCCUCACAGCGAGGAGAAUGUGGAUAGAGUCAGACGAAAAGAAGGGCGAAUACGUUUGGCUUCUCGAAGGGAAGCAUGAUAACCGGAAGCGAACGGUGAGCUUUUAUGUAUUCGAGGGAACCAGCCCGGACACAUUCCUCUUCACAGUGGGCUCAGAUGAGGCACUUUCAAGCGAGGCGAAAUUCCACUACACCGACUAUGAGAACUGCGCUGUCCUCGACAUCCCGUACAACGGACGCC
Long non-coding RNA from Rhipicephalus sanguineus (brown dog tick), 300 nucleotides. RefSeq lists it as uncharacterized. Lineage: Eukaryota; Metazoa; Arthropoda; Arachnida; Ixodida; Ixodidae. The record is from RefSeq and is a predicted model, not a curated record. The transcript is spliced from 3 exons.